AGAAUCAACGCUGGCGGCGUGCCUCAGACAUGCAAGUCGAACGCGAAAGCCCCCUUCGGGGGGCAAGUAGAGUGGCGCACGGGUGAGUAACACGUAGGUAAUCUACCUUCGGAUGGGGAAUAACAAUCGGAAACGGUUGCUAAUACCGCAUAAUGCAGCGGCACCUAAUGGUGACAGUUGUUAAAGCGGGGGAUCGAAAGACCUCGCGUCUGAAGAGGAGCCUGCGGCGGAUUAGCUAGUUGUAGGGUAACGGCUUACCAAGGCAACGAUCCGUA
This 275-nucleotide ribosomal RNA is filed under the name uncultured soil bacterium. RNAcentral describes it as "partial 16S ribosomal RNA". It matches the Rfam family "Bacterial small subunit ribosomal RNA", at positions 26 to 285 of the family's 1533-position model. The record is from RNAcentral.